Molecule: long non-coding RNA, 103 nt
Organism: Austrofundulus limnaeus
Lineage: Eukaryota; Metazoa; Chordata; Actinopteri; Cyprinodontiformes; Rivulidae
Exons: 3
Source: RefSeq, a predicted model, not a curated record
UUUAUAAAUAAACACACACACACAGAACCCUGAAUGUAUAUAAAAUAACCUGCUUUUACUUAGUUAAAAUUGUUAGACAAACUGCUUAAUUAGUUUGUUCACC